RNAcentral lists this ribosomal RNA (660 nucleotides) under uncultured bacterium. RNAcentral's name for it is "bacterial SSU rRNA". It matches the Rfam family "Bacterial small subunit ribosomal RNA", at positions 144 to 823 of the family's 1533-position model. The record is from RNAcentral.
UAACACUUAGAAAUAGGUGCUAAUACCGCAUAACAACAGAAAGCGCAUGCUUUUUGUUUGAAAACCAAGGUGGUAUGGGAUGGACCCGCGUCUGAUUAGCUGGUUGGCGGGGUAAAGGCCCACCAAGGCGACGAUCAGUAGCCGGCCUGAGAGGGUGGACGGCCACAUUGGGACUGAGACACGGCCCAAACUCCUACGGGAGGCAGCAGUGGGGAAUAUUGCACAAUGGGGGAAACCCUGAUGCAGCGACGCCGCGUGAGUGAAGAAGUAAUUCGUUAUGUAAAGCUCUAUCAGCAGGGAAGAAAAUGACGGUACCUGAGUAAGAAGCCCCGGCUAACUACGUGCCAGCAGCCGCGGUAAUACGUAGGGGGCAAGCGUUAUCCGGAUUUACUGGGUGUAAAGGGAGCGUAGACGGCAGUGCAAGUCUGGAGUGAAAGGCGGGGGCUCAACCCCCGGACUGCUCUGGAAACUGUACGGCUGGAGUGCAGGAGAGGUAAGUGGAAUUCCUAGUGUAGCGGUGAAAUGCGUAGAUAUUAGGAGGAACACCAGUGGCGAAGGCGGCUUACUGGACUGUAACUGACGUUGAGGCUCGAAAGCGUGGGGAGCAAACAGGAUUAGAUACCCUGGUAGUCCACGCCGUAAACGAUGAUCACUAGGUGU